CCCUUAGAUGUUCUGGGCCGCACACGCGCUACACUGAAGGAGGCAGCGUGUACUCCUGGAUCGAAAGAUUUGGGUAACCCGCGAAUCUCCUUCGUGCUAGGGAUUGAGGUUUGCAAUUAUCCUUCAUGAACGAGGAAUUCCCAGUAAGUGCAAGUCAUAAGCUUGCGCUGACUACGUCCCUGCCCUUUGUACACACCGCCCGUCGCUCCUACCGAUUGAGCAAUCCGGUGAUUACUUUGGACUGGUGACAAGUCUGGUCCUGCCAGCCUCGUCACUGGAAAAUUGAGUAAACCAUAUCACUUAGAGGAAGGAGAAGUCGUAACA
RNAcentral lists this ribosomal RNA (324 nucleotides) under uncultured eukaryote. Its description in RNAcentral is "partial 18S ribosomal RNA". It matches the Rfam family "Eukaryotic small subunit ribosomal RNA", at positions 1470 to 1796 of the family's 1831-position model. The record is from RNAcentral.